Molecule: long non-coding RNA, 849 nt
Organism: Chelonus insularis
Lineage: Eukaryota; Metazoa; Arthropoda; Insecta; Hymenoptera; Braconidae
Exons: 4
Source: RefSeq, a predicted model, not a curated record
GUGGUGAUUUAAUUAAAAAUAAAUCAAGUUAACGCAUGGAUAUUUCUAGUUAUGAAGUUAAUCGAUGAUGCAUCUAGACUCUAGAAUGCAUUUGAUGGUGGGUUCCAACUUCCAUUCUUCGUCAUUAUGAAUAAUCUAUAAGACAUGUAGGAGGAAGAGGAUUGGUAGCAAAAAAAAAUCCAACUCGUUACUUUCCUUGAUGCUGAAAAAUUUACAGAAUAAUAUGAUGUUAUAUGAUAGAUGAUGUUGAAUAGCAUUUUCUGUUGGUUUUAUUGAUGAAGAGUUGGACAGGUCUUCAAAUAUGUGAUAUGAGAUUCAUGAUUAAUAGAAGCACUGUAUUGGAAUUUCAUCUGAAUGUGCUAUGUCCUGCACAUACAUCAUGACAUUCCCUAGUGGUUGAUGGCUACUGUAACUAAUGACAUCAAGUUGACUAACGGCGGAUUUCGAUCGAACUGUAUUAUGCAGUAUAUGUACAUAUAAACGAGGAUGUCUCGUAGGGAUAUAUGCCAUGAUUUACUGAAGUUCCCUUCGCUUAAUUGUGAUGAGGAAACUCUGAAGUUUGUAUCAAACUAUUAUGACUAUCAACUGCGUCAUAUCAGACUUCUCAACUUUAGACUACAUGAUGCAAUGGAUAGAUACAAAAUAAAAUUAAGGUGAAACAAAACCUUGAUUAUGACGAAAUCAUCAGAUGCAUGUGGACUUGACAUUACCACUACUCUUUUAAUAUGUAUUAAAUUACCAACAAAAAAAACCUGUUUGUAUCAAUCAUCAUUCAGAUUCAUUGAAGAAUAUUUACAAGUACCUUCUACCGAUCAUUAACAUGGUAUAUAUUUGGUUACAUGUUAAUAA